RNAcentral lists this long non-coding RNA (353 nucleotides) under Phoenix dactylifera (date palm). RNAcentral's name for it is "long non-coding RNA (PDAC_LNC011710)". The record is from RNAcentral. Lineage: Eukaryota; Viridiplantae; Streptophyta; Magnoliopsida; Arecales; Arecaceae.
GGGUUUAUCGAUCAUCGAGAUAAUCCCUGUGAGUCCCACCAUCCACCAGUGACACCUAGCAGCAUGUAGUGGCUACCCAGUAGAAUAGAAUGAUGAACCUCUAGGUGCAGUUAUUGUGUGAUACAGUCCUACUAUCGUGGAUCCCUACAGGACGGAGGUCAUGGAUAACUCGUCAAACCCCUUCGUCUGUCAUAUGUCAAGAUUUAUUCGACUCGAGUUCGUUAGUGAAAAACUCUUUCUCCACUUUAUAUUACUGCCCUGGCCAAGGUCUUAGAACUCAGUCUAACAAAUCACAUAGGAUCACUCCUCUUCUAUCAAGGUCGAUAGAUUCCAUGUGAGUGCAUACCCUACUC